Unclassified non-coding RNA from Pongo abelii (Sumatran orangutan), 148 nucleotides. It matches the Rfam family "Metazoan signal recognition particle RNA". Rfam says of the family: The signal recognition particle (SRP) is a universally conserved ribonucleoprotein. It is involved in the co-translational targeting of proteins to membranes. NCBI's taxonomy places the organism in Eukaryota, Metazoa, Chordata, Mammalia, Primates, Hominidae. The record is from Ensembl.
GCCAGGCGUGGUGGCGAGCGCCUGUAAUUCCAGCUACUUGGGAGGCUGGGGCAGGAGAAUCGCUUGAACCCAGGAGGCAGGGGUUGCAGUGAGCCAAGAUAGCGCCAUUGCACUCCAGCCUGGGUGACAGAGCGAGACUCUGUCUCAA